RNAcentral lists this ribosomal RNA (246 nucleotides) under uncultured bacterium. RNAcentral describes it as "partial 16S ribosomal RNA". It matches the Rfam family "Bacterial small subunit ribosomal RNA", at positions 526 to 771 of the family's 1533-position model. The record is from RNAcentral.
CGUGGGUGGCAAGCGUUGUCCGGAAUUAUUGGGCGUAAAGCGCGCGCAGGCGGCUUCUUAAGUCCAUCUUAAAAGUGCGGGGCUUAACCCCCGUGAUGGGAUGGAAACUGAGAGGCUGGAGUAUCGGAGAGGAAAGUGGAAUUCCUAGUGUAGCGGUGAAAUGCGUAGAGAUUAGGAAGAACACCGGUGGCGAAGGCGACUUUCUGGACGACAACUGACGCUGAGGCGCGAAAGCGUGGGGAGCAA